UGCCUCAGUAACGGCGAGUGAAGCGGCAACAGCUCAAAUUUGAAAUCUGGCUCUUUCAGGGUCCGAGUUGUAAUUUGUAGAGGAUGCUUCGGGCGUGGCGCGGGUCUAAGUUCCUUGGAACAGGACGUCAUAGAGGGUGAGAAUCCCGUAUGCGACCCAUCGCCUCCGUCCAUGUGAAGCUCCUUCGACGAGUCGAGUUGUUUGGGAAUGCAGCUCAAAAUGGGUGGUAAAUUUCAUCUAAAGCUAAAUAUUGGCCAGAGACCGAUAGCGCACAAGUAGAGUGAUCGAAAGAUGAAAAGCACUUUGGAAAGAGAGUUAAAAAGUACGUGAAAUUGUUGAAAGGGAAGCGCUUGCAACCAGACUUGCUCGCGGUUGCUCAGCCGGUGUUCUCACCGGUGCACUCUUCCGCGAUCAGGCCAGCAUCGGUUUGGGCGGCUGGAUAAAGGCUUCGGGAAUGUAGCUCCUCUCGGGGAGUGUUAUAGCCCGAGGUGCAAUGCAGCCUGCCCGGACCGAGGACCGCGCUUCGGCUAGGAUGCUGGCGUAAUGGUUGUAAGCGACCCGUCUUGAAACACGGACCAAGGAGUCUAACAUCUAUGCGAGUGUUUGGGUGUCAAACCCAUGCGCGUAAUGAAAGUGAACGGAGGUGGGAACCCUUAAGGGUGCACCAUCGACCGAUCCUGAUGUCUUCGGAUGGAUUUGAGUAAGAGCAUAGCUGUUGGGACCCGAAAGAUGGUGAACUAUGCCUGAAUAGGGUGAAGCCAGAGGAAACUCUGGUGGAGGCUCGCAGCGGUUCUGACGUGCAAAUCGAUCGUCAAAUUUGGGUAUAGGGGCGAAAGACUAAUCGAACCAUUAACCAAAGCAUUUUGAAGCUGCUUGGUGGUUAAGAGGCGGCUCAAAGUGCCCGUCUAGUCCCUCAUCCGGGGCGACACUGUCAAAUUGCGGGGACACCCUUAGAGCUUGAACUACCGCGGCCCGUCGAAAGAUAGGGUGCAGCACCAGGUUAAUGGCCUCGGGUAUGGUAAAAACGUUCGAGAUUGGGCAAUCCGCAGCCAAGUCCUAAGGUCCCGGAGCUGAAGCUCUCGGGAUACGGAUGCAGUUCACAGACUAAAUGGCAGUGGGUGUGACCGUGCGGUCACGCUUAAGAUAUAGUCGGACCCUCCCGGAGACGGGAGCGGCGAGAGGAAGCCUCCAGGUAGGAUGCUGAGGGGUCGACACCCUUCAGUUCCUGGUGGCCCGAGCCUCGCCGGGGAGCGCCC
Molecule: ribosomal RNA, 1256 nt
Filed under: Sarea sp. 'coeloplata-1'
Lineage: Eukaryota; Fungi; Ascomycota; Sareomycetes; Sareales; Zythiaceae
Description: partial large subunit ribosomal RNA
Rfam family: Eukaryotic large subunit ribosomal RNA
Source: RNAcentral